RNAcentral lists this ribosomal RNA (372 nucleotides) under uncultured bacterium. Its description in RNAcentral is "partial 16S ribosomal RNA". It matches the Rfam family "Bacterial small subunit ribosomal RNA", at positions 338 to 707 of the family's 1533-position model. The record is from RNAcentral.
CCUACGGGAGGCAGCAGUGUGGAAUAUUGGUCAAUGGGCGCGAGCCUGAACCAGCCAAGCAGCGUGAAGGAUGACUGCCCUACGGGUUGUAAACUUCUUUUAUAAAGGAAUAAAGUGAGGCACGUGUGCCUUUUUGUAUGUAUUUUAUGAAUAAGGAUCGGCUAACUCCGUGCCAGCAGCCGCGGUAAUACGGAGGAUCCGAGCGUUAUCCGGAUUUAUUGGGUUUAAAGGGAGCGUAGAUGGGUUGUUAAGUCAGUUGUGAAAGUUUGCGGCUCAACCGGAAAAUGGCAAUUGAUACUGGCAGACUUGAGUACUGUAGAGGGAGGCGGAAUUCGUGGUGUAGCAGUGAAAUGCGUAGAUAUCACGAAGAAC